RNAcentral lists this transfer RNA (87 nucleotides) under Candidatus Altarchaeales archaeon WOR_SM1_86-2. RNAcentral describes it as "Candidatus Altiarchaeales archaeon WOR_SM1_86-2 tRNA-Ser". It matches the Rfam family "tRNA". Rfam says of the family: Transfer RNA (tRNA) molecules are approximately 80 nucleotides in length. Their secondary structure includes four short double-helical elements and three loops (D, anti-codon, and T loops). Further hydrogen bonds mediate the characteristic L-shaped molecular structure. tRNAs have two regions of fundamental functional importance: the anti-codon, which is responsible for specific mRNA codon recognition, and the 3' end, to which the tRNAs corresponding amino acid is attached (by aminoacyl-tRNA synthetases). tRNAs cope with the degeneracy of the genetic code in two manners: having more than one tRNA (with a specific anti-codon) for a particular amino acid; and 'wobble' base-pairing, i.e. permitting non-standard base-pairing at the 3rd anti-codon position. Lineage: Archaea; Nanobdellati; Candidatus Altarchaeota; Candidatus Altarchaeia; Candidatus Altarchaeales. The record is from RNAcentral.
GCCGAGGUGGCGGAGCAUGGCUAAACGCGCGGGACUGCUAAUCCCGUGUUCCUUGCGAACACUUGGGUUCAAAUCCCAACCUCGGCG